AUGCUACCACACGCUCCAAACCCUGCAACAUAUAUGUCUGUCACACUUCUCCCAAGUGUUCAUCAUCGAUCUCGCCUACACUGCACGAAGCUGCCGGAGCGCGGGCCGGAGCUGGCUCAGUCGCUGUCGCUGUCGCUGCUGCUGCUGCCGUGGCCGUCGUCGUCCUUGUGGCCCUCGCCGUGCUUCUUGUCCUUCUUCUUCUUCUUGUCCUUCUUCUCCUUGUGGUCGCCGUCCUUCUUGCCGUCGCCGCUGAUCUUGUCCUUGAUCUUCUCCAUCAUGCCCUCCUUGUGCUCGCCGUCCUUCUUGUGCUCCCCGUCCUUCUUCUUGUGCUCCUCCGCCUUCUUGUGCUCCUCGUCCUUCUUGUGCUCGUCGCUGCCGCCGCCCAUGUGGAGCUUCUCCUCGAUCUUGUGCAUGAUGCCGGCCAUGGCGCUGCUGUUUCUGGCUACUUCUCUCCAAGGAAAAUGGCGAUGCUAA
This 474-nucleotide ribosomal RNA is filed under the name Triticum aestivum (bread wheat). Its description in RNAcentral is "partial small subunit ribosomal RNA". The record is from RNAcentral. Lineage: Eukaryota; Viridiplantae; Streptophyta; Magnoliopsida; Poales; Poaceae.